Molecule: long non-coding RNA, 283 nt
Organism: Gavialis gangeticus (Gharial)
Lineage: Eukaryota; Metazoa; Chordata; Crocodylia; Gavialidae
Exons: 4
Source: RefSeq, a predicted model, not a curated record
CAGAAAGGUCUUAGCCUGACCAGCUUGUCCCUGGAAUGAAUCUCAGCAACCAUACAGAUGUCAUGGGAAAAACAGUACCCAUCACCUUUGUAGCUGAGCAUCUUACAACGCCCCAGUGAGAAAGCUGUUGGCACCUUGGACAGAGACCUAAAGCACAGAAAAAAUAUUAUCUGGAGACUCUUCUCAAGAAUAUGUUUGCACUGUGACCUUUAGCAGAUAUAGUAUCCAUAUUGUCCACAUAAAUAUUGAUAACCAGUCACUAUAAUGGUUUGAGGUCAAAGAA